This 375-nucleotide ribosomal RNA is filed under the name uncultured bacterium. Its description in RNAcentral is "bacterial SSU rRNA". It matches the Rfam family "Bacterial small subunit ribosomal RNA", at positions 28 to 404 of the family's 1533-position model. The record is from RNAcentral.
GACGAACGCUGGCGGCGUGCUUAACACAUGCAAGUCGAGCGGGUAAGGCCCUUUCGGGGGUACACGAGCGGCGAACGGGUGAGUAACACGUGGGUGACCUGCCUUUAGCUCUGGGAUAAGCCUGGGAAACUGGGUCUAAUACCGGAUAUGACUCCAUGACGCAUGUUGUGGGGUGGAAAGCCUUGUGCGGCUAGGGAUGGGCCCGCGGCCUAUCAGCUUGUUGGUGGGGUGAUGGCCUACCAAGGCGACGACGGGUAGCCGGCCUGAGAGGGCGACCGGCCACACUGGGACUGAGAUACGGCCCAGACUCCUACGGGAGGCAGCAGUGGGGAAUCUUGCGCAAUGGCGAAAGCCUGACGCAGCGACGCCGCGUGA